GCCUCGGUAGUCUAAAGGCUUAGGACGCUCGCACGGAAUGCAAGAGAUCCGGGUUCGACUCCUGGACGGGGUA
Molecule: transfer RNA, 73 nt
Filed under: Trachymyrmex cornetzi
Lineage: Eukaryota; Metazoa; Arthropoda; Insecta; Hymenoptera; Formicidae
Rfam family: tRNA
About the family: Transfer RNA (tRNA) molecules are approximately 80 nucleotides in length. Their secondary structure includes four short double-helical elements and three loops (D, anti-codon, and T loops). Further hydrogen bonds mediate the characteristic L-shaped molecular structure. tRNAs have two regions of fundamental functional importance: the anti-codon, which is responsible for specific mRNA codon recognition, and the 3' end, to which the tRNAs corresponding amino acid is attached (by aminoacyl-tRNA synthetases). tRNAs cope with the degeneracy of the genetic code in two manners: having more than one tRNA (with a specific anti-codon) for a particular amino acid; and 'wobble' base-pairing, i.e. permitting non-standard base-pairing at the 3rd anti-codon position.
Source: Rfam by way of RNAcentral